AGAGGGUGCAAGCGUUAAUCGGAAUUACUGGGCGUAAAGCGCACGCAGGCGGGUGUUUAAGUCGGGUGUGAAAGCCCCGGGCUCAACCUGGGAAUUGCAUUCGAUACUGGGCACCUAGAGUAUGGUAGAGGAAAGUAGAAUUCCCGGUGUAGCGGUGAAAUGCGUAGAGAUCGGGAGGAAUACCAGUGGCGAAGGCGGCUUUCUGGACCAAUACUGACGCUCAUGUGCGAAAGCGUGGGGAGCAAACAGGGAUUAGAGACCCUGGUAGUCCACGCCGUAAACGAUGAGAACUAGAUGUCGGGGGGGCUUGACCCCGUCGGUAUCGCAGCUAACGCAUUAAGUUCUCCGCCUGGGGAUACGGCCGCAAGGUUA
RNAcentral lists this ribosomal RNA (372 nucleotides) under uncultured organism. Its description in RNAcentral is "partial 16S ribosomal RNA". It matches the Rfam family "Bacterial small subunit ribosomal RNA", at positions 527 to 896 of the family's 1533-position model. The record is from RNAcentral.